This 440-nucleotide ribosomal RNA is filed under the name uncultured bacterium. Its description in RNAcentral is "partial 16S ribosomal RNA". It matches the Rfam family "Bacterial small subunit ribosomal RNA", at positions 338 to 795 of the family's 1533-position model. The record is from RNAcentral.
CCUACGGGAGGCAGCAGUGGGGAAUAUUGCACAAUGGGGGAAACCCUGAUGCAGCGACGCCGCGUGAGUGAAGAAGUAUUUCGGUACGUAAAGCUCUAUCAGCAGGGAAGAAAAUGACGGUACCUGACUAAGAAGCCCCGGCUAACUACGUGCCAGCAGCCGCGGUAAUACGUAGGGGGCCAGCGUUAUCCGGAGUUACUGGGUGUAAAGGGAGCGUAGACGGCAGCGCAAGUCUGGAGUGAAAUCCCAUGGCUUAACCAUGGAACUGCUUUGGAAACUGUGCAGCUAGAGUGCAGGAGAGGUAAGCGGAAUUCCUAGUGUAGCGGUGAAAUGCGUAGAUAUUAGGAGGAACACCAGUGGCGAAGGCGGCUUACUGGACUGUAACUGACGUUGAGGCUCGAAAGCGUGGGGAGCAAACAGGAUUAGAUACCCGUGUAGUC